Molecule: long non-coding RNA, 1166 nt
Organism: Morone saxatilis (striped sea-bass)
Lineage: Eukaryota; Metazoa; Chordata; Actinopteri; Moronidae
Exons: 3
Source: RefSeq, a predicted model, not a curated record
AUAUAUACGCACAAGUUUGGGUAUGACAUCACAGGGUCAUGCUUUGUGUCUGGGGAGCCAGGCCUCGGAGGCUUUAGCGGGCAGUCGAGCAAGGGGUUGCGUCCUAGAAGGGGGGCCUAUGACCGCUGUGACCAUGUAAGCAGAGUACAGACCGCUCUGUGUGAGACAAUUCUCAGAUUGCCUGCAAAGACUCACAGGGGUGGGGUCGGGGGUAACCAGGAGAGGGAGGAAAUUCAGGCCUCCGCUCCAAACCCGAUGACUUCUGAAGUUUCACAGCCCUCCCACGCCACUGAGCACUGUUGGCACUGCUGCCCACAAGGGAAGAGUGAUGAAAUGUGGGGAAACCAUGUGGCUUUGGUGUGCGACACUGUCUGGUCAGCUGACCUGCCGUUUCCUGUCGAACAGGAAGAGCAAAAUGAGCAGAGAUGAAAGUUCAAGGUAACACACAGCUGGCAGUUGUUAAGAUGCUGACUGCUGCAGCUUUGCCACCCAGAGGGAAGUGACCACUGCAACUACCGAGUACAGCGACAUAAAGUGCAUAUCAUCUAUAUAAACUGGCCUAUUGAAAACUAAUCACUGCAGUUCUGAGUUGACUGACUUACAUACCAAUCCAGUCAAAGGUCAGAACAGAGUCAAAGCAUAGAGGAAUCCCCCCCAGCAAAGCUAAAUAUUUAGCAUUUUAGCCUAGAUCAAAGAACUGAAGCAAGAGCCUGUGUUCUUGCACAACAUUACACUUACUUGCAUUCUGGAUACAUGCAGUAUAUUCUGUUGUUAACGUACCUCAUGUGGUUGAAGCCCCAUGUCAUUGAGAACACUCUGGAAGAAUGUUGGGGAUGGUUUUCCAAUAACCUCAGCCUUUAAAUCACAAGCAUACUGGGGGAACAAAACAAAAAUGAGUCAUUGUUCACAUGAGCAGAAGUGCUGUUAUCAAUUCUUAACAAUUCUAUCAAUGCAAAUGAUGAACCUACUGUACCUCCAGAGCUUUCAUGUAAACCCCGACAUCCAGUUUCAAGCCAUCUGUCUCCUUGUAGUAUCUCCUUAUGAAGAGAGCAAAACAUCCAAAACAUUUAUAUUUAUUUAUUUAUUAAAUAUUUCACGCUGUGCUUGUCACUUGGAAUAAGCAAUCCAGUACUACUGACUACUAACUUUUAAUAUCCUCUCACCCU